GUUGAUUUCAGCAAUGGAUUGACAUGGACACCCUGCGCAGCUUCCAACAAAAUUUAUUGCAAAACAAUCAGUGACGAUGGAUUGAAGCUCCUCCAGCCGCACAUGAAGACAUUAGCAGGGAAAAUGAUCAUCAUGUUUUCUUUUAGACACUAGCAACUCCAGCUGCGUAUGAAGAAAAGGUUAUCAGAUAUGUUCAAUCAAGCAGCCAACUCUUGCUACCUGACUGGAAAUUUUGGCCUUUAUGAUGUUUUCUCCCUUGAGAAAAGAUGCCGUGACAUGAUCAGAUUUUGUAAUAUGAAAGAGGAAAAAGCAGACUAUAAAAGACCAUCAAAAAUAAUAAACAGGGAUUUGAAUGUUCCUAA
Long non-coding RNA from Musa acuminata subsp. malaccensis (wild Malaysian banana), 362 nucleotides. RefSeq lists it as uncharacterized. Lineage: Eukaryota; Viridiplantae; Streptophyta; Magnoliopsida; Zingiberales; Musaceae. The record is from RefSeq and is a predicted model, not a curated record.